Long non-coding RNA from Mastomys coucha (southern multimammate mouse), 159 nucleotides. RefSeq lists it as uncharacterized. The record is from RefSeq and is a predicted model, not a curated record. The transcript has 2 exons. Lineage: Eukaryota; Metazoa; Chordata; Mammalia; Rodentia; Muridae.
CCUUGCUGACUUCUAGUGCAAGAUUGGAAGUGCUUGAACUUAUAGACUGAGAGGGGGAAGAUGAUGAUGACAACAAUGACGAUAAUGUUGAUUCUGGCUUCUCGCAAAAAUUUCUCCUUGAUUUUCCAACCUACAAUAAAAGAUGACUCCAUAUAGAUA